This 423-nucleotide ribosomal RNA is filed under the name uncultured bacterium. RNAcentral's name for it is "bacterial SSU rRNA". It matches the Rfam family "Bacterial small subunit ribosomal RNA", at positions 358 to 773 of the family's 1533-position model. The record is from RNAcentral.
GGAAUCUUAGACAAUGGGCGCAAGCCUGAUCCAGCCAUGCCGCGUGUGUGAAGAAGGCCUUCGGGUUGUAAAGCACUUUCAGCGAGGAGGAAGGGUGUUGUUUUAAUAGAACAGCAUUUUGACGUUACUCGCAGAAGAAGCACCGGCUAACUACGUGCCAGCAGCCGCGGUAAUACGUAGGGUGCAAGCGUUAAUCGGAAUUACUGGGCGUAAAGGGUGCGCAGGCGGCCCCGCAUGUCAGGCGUGAAAUCCCCGGGCUUAACUUGGGAAUGGCGCUUGAAACUACGGGGCUGGAGUGUGGCAGAGGGAGGUGGAAUUCCACGUGUAGCGGUGAAAUGCGUAGAGAUGUGGAGGAACACCGAUGGCGAAGGCAGCCUCCUGGGCCAACACUGACGCUCAUGCACGAAAGCGUGGGGAGCAAAC